RNAcentral lists this long non-coding RNA (279 nucleotides) under Salvia miltiorrhiza (redroot sage). Its description in RNAcentral is "long non-coding RNA (SMIL_LNC014365)". The record is from RNAcentral. Lineage: Eukaryota; Viridiplantae; Streptophyta; Magnoliopsida; Lamiales; Lamiaceae.
AUGUAUCUCAACGCCAUCAAUAGAUUCAAGUCAUGGCCAAGGAGAUCGAAGUAAUUCGAGGGGCAACCAUAAGGUGCCGAUUUUGCACCGUGGUGAGAAAUCACAUUAACAAAUUUGGUACUAUGUAAAAAAAAAAAAAAAAACCAAAGUUUUUUUAGAUCCAAGAAUCGGAGCUUGGUACACUGAAAGCAUUCAAGAUGCGGCGGCUUUCAUUCUCCGUUACUGUGGAACACCGCCUAGAUUCUCCUCACCGCAUCGCCACCUUAAGUUUGAUUCCUC